UACGGAGGGUGCAAGCGUUAAUCGGAAUUACUGGGCGUAAAGCGCGCGUAGGCGGCCAAGUAAGUCGGAUGUGAAAGCCCCGGGCUCAACCUGGGAACUGCAUUCGAUACUGCUUGGCUAGAGUAUGAGAUAGGGAGGUAGAAUUCCACGUGUAGCGGUGAAAUGCGUAGAUAUGUGGAGGAAUACCGGUGGCGAAGGCGGCCUCCUGGCUUAAUACUGACGCUGAGGUGCGAAAGCGUGGGGAGCAAACAGG
Molecule: ribosomal RNA, 253 nt
Filed under: uncultured bacterium
Lineage: Bacteria
Description: partial 16S ribosomal RNA
Rfam family: Bacterial small subunit ribosomal RNA
Source: RNAcentral